Molecule: ribosomal RNA, 301 nt
Filed under: uncultured bacterium
Lineage: Bacteria
Description: partial 16S ribosomal RNA
Rfam family: Bacterial small subunit ribosomal RNA
Source: RNAcentral
CAGUAGCCGCGGUAAUACGUAGGUCCCGAGCGUUAUCCAGAGUGACUGGGCGUAAAGAGUUGCGUAGGCGGUCAAGUUAGCGAGCGAUGAAAACUAUCGGCUCAACCGAUAGCUUGUUGUUCGAGCUGCUUGACUCGAGAGUAUCAGAGGUCGCUGGUAUUCCUAGUGUAGCAGUGAAAUGCGUAGAUAUUAGGAAGAACACCGAUGGCGUAGGCAGGCGACUGGGAUAUUUCCGACGCUAAGGCACGAAAGCGUGAGUAGCGAACCGGAUUAGAUACCCCCGUAGUCCCUGUCUCUUAUA